This 253-nucleotide ribosomal RNA is filed under the name uncultured bacterium. Its description in RNAcentral is "partial 16S ribosomal RNA". It matches the Rfam family "Bacterial small subunit ribosomal RNA", at positions 524 to 776 of the family's 1533-position model. The record is from RNAcentral.
GACGUAGGGCGCGAGCGUUGUCCGGAUUUAUUGGGCGUAAAGAGCUCGUAGGCGGCUUGUCGCGUCGUUCGUGAAAACCCGGGGCUCAACUCCGGGCUUGCGGGCGAUACGGGCAGGCUAGAGUUCGGUAGGGGAGACUGGAAUUCCUGGUGUAGCGGUGAAAUGCGCAGAUAUCAGGAAGAACACCCGUGGCGAAGGCGGCUCUCUGGGACGUGACUGACGCUGAGACGCGAAAGCGUGGGGAGCGAACAGG